This 253-nucleotide ribosomal RNA is filed under the name uncultured bacterium. RNAcentral describes it as "partial 16S ribosomal RNA". It matches the Rfam family "Bacterial small subunit ribosomal RNA", at positions 524 to 776 of the family's 1533-position model. The record is from RNAcentral.
UACGUAGGGAGCAAGCAUUGUCCGGAAUCAUUGGGCGUAAAGCGCGCGUAGGUGGCCUCAUAAGUCCGCUGUGAAAGUCAAAGGCUCAACCUUUGAAAGCCGGUGGAUACUGUGAGGCUAGAGUACGGAAGAGGCGAGUGGAAUUCCUGGUGUAGCGGUGGAAUGCGCAGAUAUCAGGAGGAACACCAAUAGCGAAGGCAGCUCGCUGGGACGUUACUGACACUGAGGCGCGAAAGCGUGGGGAGCGAACAGG